UACAUAUUGUCGUAAACAGGUGAUUUCAGUCGAAUCUGAAGUCUUAAAAGGGAAGUUGGUGAAAUUCCAACGCGGUCCCGCCACUGUAAAUUGGGAGCAAGCUGUGAUUAACCACUGUACUAAUGUAUGGGAAGGAACAGCGAGCAAUGACCAUAAGCCAGGAGACCUGCCUGUUACUGCUGCACCAC
RNAcentral lists this non-coding RNA (188 nucleotides) under Bacillus sp. (in: firmicutes). Lineage: Bacteria; Bacillati; Bacillota; Bacilli; Caryophanales; Bacillaceae. RNAcentral also lists the same sequence under 1 other name. The record is from RNAcentral.